This 253-nucleotide ribosomal RNA is filed under the name uncultured bacterium. RNAcentral describes it as "partial 16S ribosomal RNA". It matches the Rfam family "Bacterial small subunit ribosomal RNA", at positions 524 to 776 of the family's 1533-position model. The record is from RNAcentral.
UACGUAGGAGGCAAGCGUUGUUCGGAAUCACUGGGCGUAAAGCGCACGUAGGCGGAUUUGUAAGUCAGGGGUGAAAUCCCGGGGCUCAACCUCGGAACUGCCUUUGAUACUGCGAGUCUUGAGUCCGAUAGAGGUGGGUGGAAUUCCUAGUGUAGAGGUGAAAUUCGUAGAUAUUAGGAAGAACACCGGUGGCGAAGGCGGCCCACUGGAUCGGUACUGACGCUGAGGUGCGAAAGCGUGGGGAGCAAACAGG